Molecule: ribosomal RNA, 500 nt
Filed under: uncultured bacterium
Lineage: Bacteria
Description: partial 16S ribosomal RNA
Rfam family: Bacterial small subunit ribosomal RNA
Source: RNAcentral
AUUGAACGCUGGCGGAAUGCUUUACACAUGCAAGUCGAACGGCAGCACGGACUUCGGUCUGGUGGCGAGUGGCGAACGGGUGAGUAAUGUAUCGGAACGUGCCCAGUCGUGGGGGAUAACGUAGUGAAAAUUACGCUAAUACCGCAUACGAUCUAUGGAUGAAAGCGGGGGAUCGCAAGACCUCGCGCGAUUGGAGCGGCCGAUAUCAGAUUAGGUGGUUGGGGGGGUAAAGGCCCACCAAGCCAACGAUCUGUAGCUGGUCUGAGAGGACGACCAGCCACACUGGAACGGAGACACGGUCCAGGCUCCUACGGGAGGCAGCAGGGGGGAAUUUUGGACAAUGGGCGAAAGCCUGAUCCAGCCAUUCCGCGUGCAGGAUGAAGGCCCUCGGGUUGUAAACUGCUUUUGUACAGAACGAAAAGGCUUCUACUAAUACUAGGAGCUCAUGACGGUACUGUAAGAAUAAGCACCGGCUAACUACGUGCCAGCAGCCGCCGUAA